AUUCGAUCUAUUAUUAUCAAUUAUCAUUCGUAAUUAAGAUACAUCAUCAAAUGGUUAUACCGUAAGCACACCAACUCUUUACUGUUAUACUUAGAGUUGGUAAUUAAAUACGUAUACAGCGAGCAGUGUUUACUUCAUCAACCCCUAUCAUAGGGGGUAACUACCAAAACUAACCUAGGAUGUUCCUGCGGGUGGAGUACCACCAUAUGGCGAUCUAAGACCAGGGAAGAACACAGGAACUGGCAAUCUGAAAUGAGAAAUGAAAAAAAAAAACGUCUAUGGAUGAGGUUUCUUGCACUUCGAUCACCCUAGAAAACAGUGUGGUAUAUGGGAAAAGGAUGGAGACAUUAGGCCUGACACGGAGCUGAGUAUAGUUAUGGAAAAUGGCAUAUGGUAUGGAGCAUCGUGUGGAAAUGGAGUAUGGUAUGGAAAAGGGACAUGCAGCGUGGACUUUUUGGUGACAUCGAUAUAGACGUUUAAAGGGUGGCAUACGCAGAAGAAGAGCUGGAGUCUAUAAAAUGGUGGACAUAACGGAUGGAAUGCUUUUUAAGAACAACGGCUUUUUAAGCACAUUAAAUAUUGGAAAAAGAUACCAUCUACAUACCAUGCCCCGUAAUUAUAAAAAAAUAGGGGUUACCGCCAAAUUCAGAUACAAUGAAAUUUAUAUAAAAAAUGCUCUAAAAGCGGUAACACGUGGGCAAAUGAGCAUAAGGGCGGCCUCCACAAAUUAUGGAGUUCCAUAUACCACAUUACAUAUAAAAUAUGCAGCACAUGUAAAAGGAGAAGAGCAACGCAUCAUCGGAGGGCAACCUGUUCUUUCGGAAAUUGAAGAAAAAAAAAUAGUGAAAAUUUAUUUAAGGACAUUUUGGUUCGUACAAUCUAGAAUGACCUUUUAAAUUUAUGUAGGUAGAGAAAUACCUGAUUGAAAAUGUUGUUCCUUUGUUAAUUUUAGGAUUAAGUUAAUCGUUUGUAAUGUUAUUCCAUUCUUAAUAAGUAAUAAGUUUUUUAAGCCAAAAUAAACAGUAAAUUGUAUUCGUUCAGUUUUGAACAAUUUGGUUUAAUUUUGUUAAUGUUUUUGUUUCUAUUUGCGUUCAUUUUUAUUAAUAAAUGCGUUUGUAUACUACAAUAUUGCUAUUUUUUUCAAUAAAACGCAAAAAAACUGUGAAGAAUUUUUUUUUAAAUUUUUUUAAAUGGUCCGUUUUAUACAAGAACUUGCUAAAAUGAGUUUUCCGUUAAAAUAUAUGGGUGAUCCGUUUCACCUUACCAGGUGGGGUGAAACGGAUCACUGUUUAAGUAAAAAAAAAAUGAAAAAAAGCAGCUGACCAACUUCAAUUUAAACUAGUAUGACACGUAGCCAAGGCAUGUAGCUAUAUUGUGUAUUUUUUUCAGAAUGUUUCUACAAAUAAAAAGCACUAAAAACUUUUACGAAAACCUCCAAUUUUGAUUCGUUUCACCCCGUA
Diabrotica virgifera virgifera (western corn rootworm) is the source of this 1460-nucleotide RNA transcript. RefSeq lists it as uncharacterized. The transcript is spliced from 3 exons. The record is from RefSeq and is a predicted model, not a curated record. NCBI's taxonomy places the organism in Eukaryota, Metazoa, Arthropoda, Insecta, Coleoptera, Chrysomelidae.